RNAcentral lists this transfer RNA (71 nucleotides) under Aeromicrobium flavum. It matches the Rfam family "tRNA". From Rfam's summary of the family: Transfer RNA (tRNA) molecules are approximately 80 nucleotides in length. Their secondary structure includes four short double-helical elements and three loops (D, anti-codon, and T loops). RNAcentral also lists the same sequence under 4 other names. Lineage: Bacteria; Bacillati; Actinomycetota; Actinomycetes; Propionibacteriales; Nocardioidaceae. The record is from Rfam by way of RNAcentral.
GCCGGUGUAGCUCAAUGGCAGAGCGCUUGCUUCCCAAGCAAGAUACGCGGGUUCGAUUCCCGUCACCGGCU